This 163-nucleotide ribosomal RNA is filed under the name uncultured bacterium. RNAcentral describes it as "partial 16S ribosomal RNA". The record is from RNAcentral.
CCGAACUCAGAGAGUCUGACGGAGCACGCCGCGUGAGUGAUGAAGGCUUUCGGAUCGUAAAACUCUGUUGUUAGGGAAGAACGCUUGCUAGUUGAACUGCUCGGAACGUGGCCGGACCCGAACCGAAAGGCCCCGGCUAAUUCCUGGCCACCGCCCCCGGUAU